GAAGGUCGGCAAGACCCGCAUUAUCACGGCGCGUCGGUUUCUGACGAUACUCGAAAAGUGAAUAUUCGGGUGCUCGAGCGGAUUUACCACGUAUACUUUCAGUACGAGCCGGGGCCGCUCAGCCGUCGAGCAGGAACGAAAGUUGGUCUUAGUGAUCCGGUGGUUCUGUAUGGAAGGGCCAUCGCUAAUCGGAUAAAAGGUACGCCGGGGAUAACAGGCUGAUUCCUCCCAAGAGUCCACAUCGACGGAGGAGUUUGGCACCUCGAUGUCGGCUCAUCACAUCCU
This 285-nucleotide ribosomal RNA is filed under the name Gammaproteobacteria bacterium. RNAcentral describes it as "partial 23S ribosomal RNA". It matches the Rfam family "Bacterial large subunit ribosomal RNA", at positions 2367 to 2548 of the family's 2925-position model. Lineage: Bacteria; Pseudomonadati; Pseudomonadota; Gammaproteobacteria. The record is from RNAcentral.